AGCUUCUUCCUUCAUUCAUCUUCUCGAUCAAUCAUCGCCGCCUCAUAAAAUAUCACCUUAUAAUCAUCGCCACAUCAAAUAUCACCUUAUAAUCGUUGCAAGUAUCAUAAUCUAAGGUAUGAAGAUGUUGAUCGACAACUCCAGAAAUGAUGGUUGUGGUUCGACUAGGAAGAAGAUGUUGACGGUGAUUCGAUUAGGGUUUUUUUUAUUGCUCGUGUUGAUUUGAACGCAGAAGAAGAAUGAAGAUGUGGUGGGGCGACGGUUGGAUAUGGAUUGUUUUAUUAGGGUUUUGCGUGAAGUUGAGGAAGAAGAAAGGUGACAGUUGGAAUGAAGAUGUGUUAAGGGUGUCGGCUGAUACAAAAGCUUUGGGGUUAAGAAUGAUUUUUAAGAUCUGGGUACAAAACCUGAGGCGAUUGACUAAUUUAGGGUUCGAUUAGGGUCUCUCAGUACACAGCCAUCCAUCCUUAAUGUUUAUUUGAUUCUUCUUUUUUAAUUAAGAUGAUUUCCGGCUGUUAUGGAAGAUGUUGAUAAAAAUUGAAAUUAGUAUGUAGCUGAUGAAUAUGAAAUGGAAGAUAUAGAUUCGGGUCAGAGAUAUUGCUUCAGAUAGUUUGUGGUGAAUAUGGUUUCAUAGUUUGUUUUGACUCGCUUGGCAUUUAUACAUAUGAUAUUGAAAUAAUGUUGUGUUACAUUAAGUUGUCUUAGAUAUUUAUUACAUUGACUAAUACUUUCAAAUCUACUACCGAGUAAUUUUUACACUUUAUUGAUGAUUGUAUGUUCCACGGAUGGAGAAGCUUCCUGAAUGGACUGGACUGAUAUAGUGAAUAUUGGUACCUUUAAGAAACAUGUUCCCUAUGAUCUUGACUAGUAUUACAUAUAAAGCUGUUUUCAUCGCUAGGAAAAUAUACUUAAGGGGUGGUCUUGGGGUUCGUGCCUUGAUCCAGACAAAACCAUUUGCCACAUUGCUCAACAAUUGGAAACAAUGAAAAUCAUUGAUGUGGAUCCCAAGUGG
This is a long non-coding RNA of Helianthus annuus (common sunflower), 1009 nucleotides long. RefSeq lists it as uncharacterized. The record is from RefSeq and is a predicted model, not a curated record. NCBI's taxonomy places the organism in Eukaryota, Viridiplantae, Streptophyta, Magnoliopsida, Asterales, Asteraceae. The transcript is spliced from 5 exons.